Molecule: transfer RNA, 73 nt
Filed under: Sus scrofa (pig)
Lineage: Eukaryota; Metazoa; Chordata; Mammalia; Artiodactyla; Suidae
Rfam family: tRNA
About the family: Transfer RNA (tRNA) molecules are approximately 80 nucleotides in length.
Source: Rfam by way of RNAcentral
UCCCUGGUGGUCUAGUGGUUAAGGAUUUAGCAUUGGGACUGCUGUGGCUCUGGUUCAAGCCCUGGCGGGGGAA